GCCUGGGUGGCUCAGCCGGUUAAGCGCCUGCCUUUGGCUCAGGUCAUGAUCUCGAGGUUCGUGAGUUCGAGCCCCGCUUCAGGCU
RNAcentral lists this transfer RNA (85 nucleotides) under Felis catus (domestic cat). It matches the Rfam family "tRNA". Rfam says of the family: Transfer RNA (tRNA) molecules are approximately 80 nucleotides in length. Their secondary structure includes four short double-helical elements and three loops (D, anti-codon, and T loops). The record is from Rfam by way of RNAcentral. Lineage: Eukaryota; Metazoa; Chordata; Mammalia; Carnivora; Felidae.